This 391-nucleotide ribosomal RNA is filed under the name uncultured Actinomycetes bacterium. RNAcentral describes it as "uncultured actinobacterium partial 16S ribosomal RNA". It matches the Rfam family "Bacterial small subunit ribosomal RNA", at positions 9 to 396 of the family's 1533-position model. Lineage: Bacteria; Bacillati; Actinomycetota; Actinomycetes. The record is from RNAcentral.
GAGUUUGAUCUUGGCUCAGGACGAACGCUGGCGGCAUGCUUAACACAUGCAAGUGGAGCGACGAACCUUUUGGGGCAAAGCCGCGAACGGGUGAGUAACACGUGGGCAAUCUGCCCCGAUGACUGGAAUAACCCGAGGAAACUCGGCUAAUACCGGAUGUGCUUGCACCUCAUCAGAGGUGUACGAGUAAAGGGAGCUUCGGCUAAUCCGCAUCGGGAGGAGCCUGCGGCGCAUUAGGUAGUUGGUGGGGUAAAGGCCUACCAAGCCGACGAUGCGUAGCUGGUCUGAGAGGACGAUCAGCCACACUGGAACUGAGACACGGUCCAGACUCCUACGGGAGGCGAGCAGUGGGGAAUCUUGGCACAAUGGGCGACAGCCUGAUGCAGCAAUG